RNAcentral lists this ribosomal RNA (372 nucleotides) under uncultured organism. RNAcentral describes it as "bacterial SSU rRNA". It matches the Rfam family "Bacterial small subunit ribosomal RNA", at positions 526 to 896 of the family's 1533-position model. The record is from RNAcentral.
CGUAGGGACCAAGCGUUGUUCGGAUUUACUGGGCGUAAAGGGCGCGUAGGCGGCGCGGUAAGUCACUUGUGAAAUCUCUGAGCUUAACUCAGAACGGCCAAGUGAUACUGCAGUGCUAGAGUGUGGAAGGGGCAAUCGGAAUUCUUGGUGUAGCGGUGAAAUGCGUAGAUAUCAAGAGGAACACCUGAGGUGAAGACGGGCUGCUGGGCCAACACUGACGCUGAUGCGCGAAAGCCAGGGGAGCAAACGGGAUUAGAUACCCCGGUAGUCCUGGCCCUAAACGAUGAAUACUUGGUGUCUGGAGUUUUAAUGCUCCGGGUGCCGUCGCUAACGUUUUUAGUAUUCCGCCUGGGGAGUACGCUCGCAAGAGUG